UAAAACUCUUAUGCCAUAAACUCUCUCUGCCUUCUCUCUAGAUGUCCAGUUCAAAGAACUGUAGGAAUUUGAUUUUUGUGUUGCCCAAGCAUCCACAACGUAGAGAGCUCCAUUUCCACUGAUUGUUUUGUUCAUUCCAAUUGAUGGCGAGGAGGUUCUUUUGGAGACGACCUUGGAAGUUGAGGAAAAUGCUGCUGUCUAGUCUCCUUAGG
RNAcentral lists this small RNA (212 nucleotides) under Vigna angularis var. angularis. Its description in RNAcentral is "Non-protein coding transcript". Lineage: Eukaryota; Viridiplantae; Streptophyta; Magnoliopsida; Fabales; Fabaceae. The record is from RNAcentral.